UUUAACACGUUUAGUUGUAUUGUGUAGUGGAAAGAGGCCCGGCGACGUGAGAAGGCCCAAGUGUGACGGUAAUUCUACCGUUGUGUUUCCAACUGGCAGAAGCCGCCGGGCCGCAGUUUUCCCAUCUGAAGACGGAGCUAGUGUCUGUCCUUGUGGUGAAGACGCAGUGAAACAGUGCAAGAAAACUGAGGCACAGAGAGAUUGUCACGCAGCCAGUAAGGCGCUGAUGCCCUCUAAGGUGCAUGCGUGUCAGUGUUUGUGAACAGCACAUGCUUUGGUCAUCUCCUCUGUGGGAUCAGGUUUCUUUCAAAAUGACGAUUCACACAGUGAUUGUAACUGUUGUGAUAAGCCAGGUUCUAGUUUACAUAGUUUUAUUCCAGAAGGAAAAAAAAACCACUUUGCCUAGAAUUUUCCAAACAAAUCAACUUUUGCUCUGUGAGUAAUCCAGGGCCUAUCAAGACUACAUUUUAGG
Molecule: long non-coding RNA, 472 nt
Organism: Sapajus apella (tufted capuchin)
Lineage: Eukaryota; Metazoa; Chordata; Mammalia; Primates; Cebidae
Exons: 3
Source: RefSeq, a predicted model, not a curated record